RNAcentral lists this ribosomal RNA (800 nucleotides) under uncultured bacterium. RNAcentral describes it as "bacterial SSU rRNA". It matches the Rfam family "Bacterial small subunit ribosomal RNA", at positions 8 to 833 of the family's 1533-position model. The record is from RNAcentral.
AGAGUUUGAUCCUGGCUCAGAAUGAACGUUGGCGGCGUGGAUUAGGCAUGCAAGUCGAGCGAGGAAAGUUGUAGCAAUACGGCUUAUUCGAGCGGCGUAAGGGGCAGUAAUACCUGGGAACGUACCCUGAGGUCGGGGAUAGCUGCUGGAAACGGCGAGUAAUACCCGAUGAUCUCGAGAGAGCAAAGGCUUGCCGCCUUCGGAGCGGCCCAGGCGAUAUUAGCUAGUUGGUGGGGUAACGGCCUACCAAGGCGUAGAUGUCUAGCGGGUGUGAGAGCACGACCCGCGCCACUGGCACUGAGACACUGGCCAGACACCUACGGGUGGCUGCAGUCGAGAAUCUUCGGCAAUGAGCGCAAGCUUGACCGAGCGACGCCGCGUGCGGGAUGAAGGCCUUCGGGUUGUAAACCGCUUUGGUCCGAGAGAAAGGGCAACUUGAUCGAUCGGAGAAACAAGGACGGGCUAAGUUCGUGCCAGCAGCCGCGGUAAGACGAACCGUCCAAACGUUAUUCGGAAUCACUGGGCUUAAAGGGCGCGUAGGCGGCCGAGCGGGUCGUGGGUGAAAUCCCCCAGCUUAACUGGGGAACUGCCCUUGAUACCACUGCGGCUCGAGGAAGGAAGGGGCAAUUGGAACUGUCGGUGGAGCGGUGAAAUGCGUUGAUAUCGACAGGAACGCCGGUGGCGAAAGCGAAUUGCUGGUCCUUUUCUGACGCUGAGGCGCGAAAGCCAGGGGAGCAAACGGGAUUAGAUACCCCGGUAGUCCUGGCCUUAAACGAUGAGAACUAGGUAGUGGGUCCGAC